This 168-nucleotide microRNA precursor is filed under the name Oryza brachyantha (malo sina). RNAcentral describes it as "MIR812 microRNA precursor family". It matches the Rfam family "MIR812 microRNA precursor family", at positions 27 to 193 of the family's 205-position model. Lineage: Eukaryota; Viridiplantae; Streptophyta; Magnoliopsida; Poales; Poaceae. The record is from Rfam by way of RNAcentral.
UAUAAUUUUUGACUCUUCGUCUUAUUUAAAAAAUUUUUGCGAUUGAUAUUUUUAUUUUUAUUAGAUGAUAAAUCAUAAAUAGUACUUUACGUGUGACUAAUUUUUUUCUAAUUUUUUAAAUUUUUUAAAAUAAAACAAAUGAUUAAACGUUGGACAUAGAAAUCGAAG